GAUCAUUACCGAGUGAGGGCCCUCUGGGUCCAACCUCCCACCCGUGUUUAUUAUACCUUGUUGCUUCGGCGGGCCCGCCUUAUGGCCGCCGGGGGGCUUCUGCCCCCGGGCCCGCGCCCGCCGAAGACAUCUCGAACUCUGUCUGAAGAUUGUAGUCUGAGUAAAAAUAUAAAUUAUUUAAAACUUUCAACAACGGAUCUCUUGGUUCCGGCAUCGAUGAAGAACGCAGCGAAAUGCGAUACGUAAUGUGAAUUGCAGAAUUCAGUGAAUCAUCGAGUCUUUGAACGCACAUUGCGCCCUCUGGUAUUCCGGAGGGCAUGCCUGUCCGAGCGUCAUUGCUGCCCUCAAGCACGGCUUGUGUGUUGGGCUCCGUCCCCCGAUCCCGGGGGACGGGCCCGAAAGGCAGCGGCGGCACCGCGUCCGGUCCUCGAGCGUAUGGGGCUUUGUCACCCGCUCUGUAGGCCCGGCCGGCGCUUGCCGAUCAACCAAAAUUUUUAUCCAGGUUGACCUCGGAUCAGGUAGGGAUACCCGCUGAACUUAAGCAUAUCAAUA
RNAcentral lists this ribosomal RNA (552 nucleotides) under Penicillium sp. A8-21-4. RNAcentral describes it as "eukaryotic LSU rRNA". The stretch from base 182 to 335 matches the Rfam family "5.8S ribosomal RNA". Lineage: Eukaryota; Fungi; Ascomycota; Eurotiomycetes; Eurotiales; Aspergillaceae. The record is from RNAcentral.